RNAcentral lists this ribosomal RNA (484 nucleotides) under uncultured bacterium. RNAcentral describes it as "partial 16S ribosomal RNA". It matches the Rfam family "Bacterial small subunit ribosomal RNA", at positions 30 to 507 of the family's 1533-position model. The record is from RNAcentral.
AUUGAACGCUGGCGGCAGGCCUAACACAUGCAAGUCGAGCGGAUGAAGGGAGCUUGCUCCUGGAUUCAGCGGCGGACGGGUGAGUAAUGCCUAGGUAUCUGCCUGGUAGUGGGGGAUAACGUCCGGAAACGGGCGCUAAUACCGCAUACGUCCUGAGGGAGAAAGUGGGGGAUCUUCGGACCUCACGCUAUCAGAUGAGCCUAGGUCGGAUUAGCUAGUUGGUGGGGUAAAGGCCUACCAAGGCGACGAUCCGUAACUGGUCUGAGAGGAUGUUCAGUCACACUGGAACUGAGACACGGUCCAGACUCCUACGGGAGGCAGCAGUGGGGAAUAUUGGACAAUGGGCGAAAGCCUGAUCCAGCCAUGCCGCGUGUGUGAAGAAGGUCUUCGGAUUGUAAAGCACUUUAAGUUGGGAGGAAGGGCAGUAAGUUAAUACCUUGCUGUUUUGACGUUACCAACAGAAUAAGCACCGGCUAACUUCGUG